UAGUGUAGUCCCUCUGGGUGAGUGUGUACAGUACGCUCAGUACGUGCCCUUUUCCCCCUUUUUAGGCGCCACAAUUAUGUAAUGGACAGGAAGUGCCACAUGUUAAACACAGCUGGAACGUGAGUCCUUCCUCUCCGGGAAGGCAGCCAGCCCAGUAGGCAGGCUCCCAUGUAAUCUAUACUCCUUGGCAAAAAAUGAAUGGGGGUCAAUGGGCAUGUGAAUGCCAAAUUAAUGUAAAUAAUAUAAAAUCUACAGUAGCUAUCUCACCAAAUCGGUCGAGCCACUACACCUUCCUGCCAAGUUGCAUGUAUUGUCUUUCAUCCAAAAUCAUUUAAUAAAUGUGCAAAAAAUCCUCUAAGUGUAUGUUUUAAACUUAUUUCUUUAAAACCAGUGCUGAACUUGAAUUGGAACUGGGUAUUAUGGUCAGAUGUGGGUUUGUUGUGGGAAGAACUCUUAUUUUGAAAAGGAUGUAAUACCUACAUUGAAAUAUGGUGGUGGCUCUUAUAGUCGAGGUUAUGGGGUUAUCCUGAGGCUCUUGUGAAGGUCAAUGGAAUCAUGAGAUUCCAGCAGGUAAGUAAAACUUGGUUUACCCCCCCCUCCCCUUUUAUUUCUCUUAUGACCUGUCUUGUAGUGGCCAUUCUUGAAUUGUAUCUUAUUUAGCUAGGUGGCUAAUGCUACAACUUUGCUAAUUCAGAAGCCAUGAGAAUACAGUCUUUCACAUUGGUGUAUUUAGAGCUUGAAAUCUCUGGGGCAGUGUGGAUGACCAAAGCAAGUAGCCUAUCUAACUGAGGAAGUUCAUAGUGAGUAUUUGGGGAAUUCUGUCUUUGCGGAAAUUGCCUAAACUGUAGAGGUUUCUACAAUUAUUUAAUAAACUGUAAAUAUUCAAAAUCACUAUCAUCUGCAUAACUAAUCCACCAAAAUUUAUGUAAACAUUAAAUUUUAAUUUGUCGACCUAUGGAAACCUGAAGAGCAUCUGUCAAUAGUUGAAUCUCCUCUACCGCUGGUAAACUUGCACAGAUAUGAGAGAGACUUGAAUUAGACGAGAAGGAUCUUAGGUGGGCAACUCUUAUUAUUGUGGGAGAUGGCAAGAAGAGCCUUAUUUGAUGUGUUUUAAAAGGCUAGAUGCAGGUGGAGACAGGAAGCAGGACUCAUGUCAUUGAGUGAUAUGUAUAACUAUUCAGAACUGGGCAUUGAAAAUGGGAAUUAGCCUUUGGGGGCACAAUGUUUUUCAUAUGGAAUUGUACAUUUUAUACAUGGGUCAAGCUUUCCACUGAAAGAAUAUCAGAGAUGAGGACCAUUGUCCUCAUAAAAAAAUGAAAAGAAGGUAAGCUUUCUCUUGUUUUCUCUUGUUUUUAAGAUGCUGAAAAAAGUAGGGUGAACUGCUCACUCCCGAAAUACUGUGUGAUUGUUCAUCAUGUCAAGUUAGGUUGUCAAAGGUGAACACCAGAAAGAACUGUUAAGUUGUCUAAUACCCUGGGUUGUCUGCGUAACUUCUGAUUCUGUAAAUGGGUACAUUUAGCAUUUCUUUUUUGCAUCAAUUAUGACUGAUUCUCGCACACAAGGUCUAAGAACCCACAUAUUCCUAACAAGGGGUUAUGCUACGAUUCAGAAAAUUGCAUUGUUAUAGAGGAUAAAUAGAAGAGGUUAGCAAGGACUAAAAUAUGGAAAGAUUGCAACAUACAACAUAAUUUUAUUGUAUCCAGUGGAGGAAGUGAUGGUCUGGUGAUCUGGUCCUUCUUUAGCUUCCAAAGUCUCAGGAUUGAAUGGCUGUUGGUUCCAGGCUCCAAGUAGGGCCACAAGCAUCCCAAGCAUGAGCCAGGCAGUCCAGGCCUACUGGUGGGGAGAGGAGGCCAGCACAACACCCACGGCCCUGAUUCAGUUCAGGGGCCUCCUACUGAUAUUUACAGGAAAUAUCUUAUGGAGGGAGGUUAACUGAAAGAAUCCAGACGCACCAGACCAGUCACGGUACUACUCGCCUGCCCAGAGGGGAACCCCUGAGGGGGGUCUGGCUGUACCUCGAUGAUGCCCAGGUGCUUCAUGAAGACAACAGAAUUGAUGCAUUACAUUUCCUGGAUAUUUUUUUAUUUUUUUUUUAUUUUUUUGAAUUCGAUAUCCAAAAGGGCUCAUCUUUUCGGGGAAAUUUGUUUUCAGUGAAUUUACCACCAUUGUUAAAAGGGAGUACUACUGGAUUUGUCACUGGUGCACAUUUUGACAGCUGAUAUUCCUUGUUACUUUUCUAAAUCUGCAUUCCAUCAAGGCUCCCACAGAUCAGCAUGUGUUACUGAGAUUUGGGCUCUGUUUUGUGAAU
This is a long non-coding RNA of Anguilla anguilla (European eel), 2308 nucleotides long. RefSeq lists it as uncharacterized. The transcript is spliced from 2 exons. The record is from RefSeq and is a predicted model, not a curated record. Lineage: Eukaryota; Metazoa; Chordata; Actinopteri; Anguilliformes; Anguillidae.